GCAUAUCAAUAAGCGGAGGAAAAAGAAACCAACAGGGAUUGCCCUAGUAACGGCGAGUGAAGCGGCAUCAGCUCAAAUUUGAAAUCUGGCUCUUUCAGGGUCCGAGUUGUAAUUUGCAGAGGGCGCUUUGGUGUUGGCAGCGGUCCAAGUUCCUUGGAACAGGACGUCACAGAGGGUGAGAAUCCCGUACGUGGUCGCUGGCCUUCGCCGUGUAAAGCCCCUUCGACGAGUCGAGUUGUUUGGGAAUGCAGCUCUAAAUGGGAGGUAAAUUUCUUCUAAAGCUAAAUACUGGCCAGAGACCGAUAGCGCACAAGUAGAGUGAUCGAAAGAUGAAAAGCACUUUGGAAAGAGAGUCAAAUAGCACGUGAAAUUGUUGAAAGGGAAGCGCUUGCAGCCAGACUUGCCUGUAGUUGCUCAUCUAGGCUCUUUGCCUAGUGCACUCUUCUGCGGGCAGGCCAGCAUCAGUCUAGGCGGUUGGAUAAAGGCCUCUGUCAUGUACCUCCUCUCGGGGAGGCCUUAUAGGGGAGGCGUAAUGCAACCAGCCUGGACUGAGGUCCGCGCAUCUGCUAGGAUGCUGGCGUAAUGGCUGUAAGCGGCCCGUCUUGAAACACGGACCAAGGAGUCUAACAUCUAUGCGAGUGUUUGGGUGUCAAGCCCGAGCGCGUAAUGAAAGUGAACGGAGGUGGGAUCCCUUUAGGGUGCACCAUCGACCGAUCCUGAUGUCUUCGGAUGGAUUUGAGUAAGAGCAUGGCUGUUGGGACCCGAAAGAUGGUGAACUAUGCUUGAAUAGGGUGAAGCCAGAGGAAACUCUGGUGGAGGCUCGCAGCGGUUCUGACGUGCAAAUCGAUCGUCAAAUUUGGGCAUAGGGGCGAAAGACUAAUCGAACUAUCUAGUAGCUGGUUCCUGCCGAAG
RNAcentral lists this ribosomal RNA (912 nucleotides) under Neocucurbitaria cava. Its description in RNAcentral is "LSU rRNA". It matches the Rfam family "Eukaryotic large subunit ribosomal RNA", at positions 38 to 966 of the family's 3401-position model. The record is from RNAcentral. Lineage: Eukaryota; Fungi; Ascomycota; Dothideomycetes; Pleosporales; Cucurbitariaceae.